This is a non-coding RNA of Vigna angularis (adzuki bean), 80 nucleotides long. The record is from Rfam. Lineage: Eukaryota; Viridiplantae; Streptophyta; Magnoliopsida; Fabales; Fabaceae.
GAGUGGUUAUCAGAGUGGUUAUCGGGCAUGACUAGAAAUCAUGUGGGCUCUGCCUACGUAGGUUCGAAUCCUGCCGCUCA